This 4575-nucleotide long non-coding RNA is filed under the name Coffea arabica (coffee). Its description in RNAcentral is "long non-coding RNA (CARA_LNC008192)". The record is from RNAcentral. Lineage: Eukaryota; Viridiplantae; Streptophyta; Magnoliopsida; Gentianales; Rubiaceae.
CUGAGAGCAAGAGAGAAAAGGGGCGGAGCUAGGAAGAAAGAAGGAGGACAAUCGAGAGAGAGAGCUAGUGGGGAGAGGGGGUUGAACGGCAAAAAGAAAAAACCCAGAAGAGAGGAAAUAGCGGCUGGGGUUAAGGAAAAAUAAAAAGGGGAAGCAAGUUUACGGCUGAAGGAGGAGGGAACGAAACAAGAGACUGGAGAAAGAAACCAUUGGGGUCUAAGGGAAAGUGAGGAACUAGAAGAGAGUAGAGUGAUUGGAGUAGCGGCUGGAAGAAAGAAAACUGAGCUAGGAGAGAGCCAAAGGGAAAACAGCAAGGAAGAAGAAUCAGGAGGAAAAAUCGAGAGAUCUGAGGAAGAGCAAGCGGAAAAGGAGAUCCAAGGCUGAAAACCCAGGUUCAGGCUUGGUCGUUGAUACCACCAUCGAACCCAGGCUGAAGUUGCGAGUCCGAAGGCGGUGAACAGGUAAUCUUCGACCCAUUUUUCGUUCAUGCCACUUCUCGUAUGAAACCUGUGAGUAUGGUUAUGAGGUCGAGGGAGAGACAGUCUACCUGCAAGGUUCACCAUUUUGUAGUGGUUUUCUCGCAUGUCACUUGUGUUUUACAAUCCAAAGCUGCUUUCUUUUAGUCGUUUGUUUGUUCCCUUCGGCUGUCUGAUGGUUCCGUUUUGAUUCCAUGAUUGACUGAUGAUUCUUCACGGAUGAAGUUAUAAGUCUGAGAGUUCUUAAGAUCGUAAACUACAAAAUUCGAUUUUUGAUUGAUGGUUUGGGCUGGACGUUUGGUAUUUGUUUGAGCUUGUUGGUAUGAAGCUUAGAAAUUGCAGUUUAGGAAACCAGAUUUCUGCUAAAAAUGCUUGAACUGUCCAACCCUUUAGCCGUUGAGUUAUUGAACUUGUUUCAUAGCCUUAUCAUGUUUACUUUUGAUGUUUCUUUUUGCCAUUGUUCCUUUUCCCUGUCUGGUGUAGUUAAAGCGUUAGUUUGAAGAAAAAAUAUCUGAUACAUGAUGAGUAGUCUUCUUGGAUGCUGUUGCUUAAUAUUUUAAAACAAGAAAAUGAAAUGAAGUUGCCUGCUGCAUUUAGUAGUUGUUCUCGUUGGUUUGGCCUGGUUUCUCCCAGAUCGAUCAAUGAGUGAGGAUUAUGUGGGUUGGGGCUGAUGAGAUAACAAAUUGUUAGAGUUUUCAUACGGACCUAAAUUGCAUGGAAUGAGCUGCGCAGUUCACAGCAGAAUUUCUGCUGCAAUUUCAUCUUUUCGGUCAGAUUGCAUUUUCCUUCUUUUUGCCUUUGUUUGUUUUUGAACUACCAUAGCUGUGGCUGUUUAGUCUAGGUAAUGUCCAGUCUUGUGCUACUUUGGCUGAAAUACCUGAAUUGGGAUCCAAUGCUUGCUGGAAAAUGAAUGAUUGAAGUUGUCAAACCAGUGUUGCACGCAUGUUUAUUCCAGAAAUUUGCAUGAUAUCUUCUUGGGUUUCUUGUUUGUUUGGAUUAUGAUGGUGGGUUUAGUUGUGGGCUUGGUCUAAAGUUGUGACGUUGAGUUUAAUUACAUCUAAUCAAGGUUGUGAUAAGAAUCUGAGUUUAUAAGAAAAUUGCUGCAAAGUUGUUUGGCCGGAAACAUUGCUGAAGCUGAAACCUUUUAUUGUUGCUUGCAUGUUAUUUCAGACCUGAAUAUGAUGUCUUUCUGGGUUGUUUGCUUGCUUGGAUCAUGGUUGCUCAAGCCAAAGUUGUUUGUUGCUUAAUCUUGGUCAAAGUUAUGUAUUUGAACCAGAAAAUUUGAGUCAGUUUGCAAGUAAAAAUGCAGCAGAUUUCACUUUCAGCUAUAGCAGUUUUCAUUCUUCAAUGUUUGCAUGUUCAUUCUUCAAUGUUUGAAUGAUUUCCACCUUUGUCUUUGCUGAUUUGGGAUGUUAAACUUAUGUUUUUACUGUCUAGUUUAAAGUUUUGGAUGUUAGCUUUGGUUAAGGUAUGUGAUUGGAUGUGGAGUUGGCAUUUGGGAGUGAAACAUGAAGGAAAUGCAGCUGAAUUGGCGCAGAAAUGAAAGGCUUCUACGUGUUUUGCAUGCAUGGAUAAUUUCAGAAUUGUCUCUUAACCCCCCAAGUCUCCCCUUGUUCUACUAUGACCCAAAUUUGAGAAAAACUAAUCAAUUGGGUCCCUGAGAUCUUUUGCAGCAAUGCAUUAUGGCCCAAUUACAUUUCUUUUUCUUGCAUUAGGUCCUAAGGUGGGUGUAUUUUGAGUCAUCAUUUGGCCUUUCAUUGUUUUGGGACUUUUGAAGCUCUUAAAUUUUUCAAUGGGUUUUUAUUUAGUUUGGUUGAUUAAUGGUUGCUAUUGAGUUUUCAAAAUGCAUGUUUAAAUCAUUCAUGGAUCCUUGUUCAUUCUUGGACCUUCGAAUUUCCAUAAAUGUUUGUUUGGAUCUUGUUAUUUACUUGGAGAACUUUUUGUGUUUUUUAAAUGUUUCAAUUAGGUUCAAAUGAUUGAGUUGUGCUUGCUUUUGGGUCUUUAGUAGAUGUUAUGCUUGGGGAUCGGAUGAUCAUGCCUUUUGCCUUGGUCUUUAAGUAGUUUUGACUUCAUUGAGUUGCAAUUGAGGGAAAGUUUGAUGUUUCGGUGGAUUCAAAUUGUUUAGUUUAUAUCUUAUCACUAAAUUGGUGCAUUAAUCUUUUGUUUUUGGUGAUUUUAGCCUAAGUUAGUCUUUUCUUGGGUGACUCUAGCCAAGUUGAGUUUGUUUACUUCCUUAGUAUCACCAACGGGGAGGUAUAAUCUCUUUUACCCCUUUUGUUUCUCUCUUAUGUGAACUAAUGUGUUAAUUGAAAUUUGCAUGUCUACUUGCUUUCCUAGCCUCUCCUUAUUUCCUUUCAUUUAUUUCAUUUACUUUUGAUUUUUAUUAAUGGGGUAUGUGUACACCUCUUGGCUUGUAAUAGAUAGGGCGUAGCAAGUAAUUUGGUCCAUUUUCCCUUUCCCCUUUGUUUUAGUUAGCAAAUGUAAUGGUUGCAUGCCUAUGUGUUAUAUGUUAAAUGCUUUAUUAGGAUCUUGCAUCUAGUCGAGCAUGAUAAGUGCUACAUGAUUUAGGUGAUUUGCAUGUCUACUCGCUUUUUGUAGUAUAGAUGAAUGGAAUGGAUGAAUGUACGUCACCACACUAGUCCAACGCUAGUUGUGGCUUCUUCUAUCGUUUCCACUAGUCCAACGCUAGUCGGAAUUCAUAGAAUGGGCUAGUCCAAUGCUAGACCCAAUAGGUUCUUUUUUCCCUUUUUCAUUAAGUGCAUGAUCACCACAUAUCACGCAUUUUUCCUUAGUUUAUCAUUUGGUAUGUUCCUCAAACCCCUUCCCCAUCACUUUAGGACUUGCAUCUCAUGCUAGUUAGGGUUCAUUUGCGUGAAAAUCCCCUUCCGAUAAGGGAAACGAGCGAGUGUGGCUACUCGAUAGCCUUAGCAUGUGACGCCCCGGAAAAAAUGAGUUUGAGAACCCGAAAAUUUUCUAAUUUUCUAGGGUUUAUUUAUUUAAUCGCCCGCCUUUUCUACAUUUUCUUGAUUAGAAAAAUUCCCCAGAUAAAGUUUAUGAGCAAAGAUAGUUUUAAAAUGAUUUUUCUAGUAUCGGUUAGUUUUGAGAAAUUAAGAGCGUAUUUUGAACGUGGGACCCGCAAGUGCGGUAAAUGUAAUAUAUUUUUGAUAACUUGUUGGAGUUUUGUGCUAAGUGAUAUUUUUCUACAAGGUGUUAAGAGAUAUUUAUGGAUUGGUGUGAGAGGGAACAAAGAGAUAGAGAUUCAUUAUUUAAGUGACAAGUGUCGCUUGGCCAUUGGGUGGAAUUUUUGACUUUUAUGCCAUGUCUUACCAUUUGACUUAAUAAACAAAAACUUUACCAAAAAUUUGCUCCAUUUCCAAGCUUCAUGGCCGAACCUCUCUCAAGAAAGGAAGAAAGGAAAGCUUUCAUCUUACUUCUUCAUUUCUUGCUUCAAUCAAACAAUUUAACCGAUUAAACUUGGAUUUGCUCCAUAAAAACCUUUCUCUUGGUAGUAUUAAGGUGUGUAGUGAAGUGGUUUGAGAAGCAAAGGUGCUAAGUUGGGUCUUUUCUUGGGUUUGUAAGGUAAGUGACUAAGGAACCUUUCCUUUGAUCUUGAUAAUGUUCAAUUAGUGAUUGGUGGUGGUUGAAUAAGUGAUUUUAUGGUUGAUUUCCUGAUUUUGGUUGAAAAUGAUGAAGUUUUAUUAUUUUUGGGGAUUUUUCUGUUUUCAUAUGGAUAUGAUUGUGUGGCUAUAUAUGAUGAUUGGAAUUGAUGUUUAAGGACUCUAUGAGGUGGAAAAAGUGAUUAAUUGCAAUCAAUUUCUGUUUUGGAAGAAAUUUCAGAAAAUCAGGGUUUUGUGAUGAACAUUCUGUCCGAAUUUUUAGGUCCUAGACAGAGGCCGAAUUGGCCUUUCCGUAAAACAUGAAAGUUGUAGGGAAUGACAUUUUAAAGGUGCCUACAAAAUUUCAGGUCAAUUGGAGCAGUGUGGAAUGAGAAAAGUCGAAGUUACUAUUGCUGUUCUGGUUUUGCCCGAAAUUGAGAAGUGCGUCUGUAAUUGGUUGUUUUGGCUGGAAUUGCUUCCGAAUUAGUUGUUGAGGCCUUCUG